RNAcentral lists this transfer RNA (89 nucleotides) under uncultured Ruminococcus sp. RNAcentral's name for it is "tRNA-Ser(cga)". It matches the Rfam family "tRNA". Rfam says of the family: Transfer RNA (tRNA) molecules are approximately 80 nucleotides in length. Their secondary structure includes four short double-helical elements and three loops (D, anti-codon, and T loops). The record is from RNAcentral. Lineage: Bacteria; Bacillati; Bacillota; Clostridia; Eubacteriales; Oscillospiraceae.
GGAGAUGUACCCAAGUGGCUGAAGGGUCCGCACUCGAAAUGCGGUAGAUCGGGCAACCGGUGCGAGGGUUCAAAUCCCUCCAUCUCCGC